GAUGAACGCUGGCGGCGUGCCUAAUACAUGCAAGUCGAGCGAACAGAUGAGGAGCUUGCUCCUCUGACGUUAGCGGCGGACGGGUGAGUAACACGUGGAUAACCUACCUAUAAGACUGGGAUAACUUCGGGAAACCGGAGCUAAUACCGGAUAAUAUAUUGAACCGCAUGGUUCAAUAGUGAAAGACGGUUUUGCUGUCACUUAUAGAUGGAUCCGCGCCGCAUUAGCUAGUUGGUAAGGUAACGGCUUACCAAGGCAACGAUGCGUAGCCGACCUGAGAGGGUGAUCGGCCACACUGGAACUGAGACACGGUCCAGACUCCUACGGGAGGCAGCAGUAGGGAAUCUUCCGCAGUGGGCGAAAGCUUGACGGAGCAACGCCGCGUGAGUGAUGAAGGUCUGCGGAUCGUAAAACUCUGUUAUUAGGGAAGAACAAAUGUGUAAGUAACUAUGCACGUCUGGACGGUACCUAAUCAGAAAGCCACGGCGAACUACGU
RNAcentral lists this ribosomal RNA (496 nucleotides) under uncultured bacterium. RNAcentral's name for it is "partial 16S ribosomal RNA". It matches the Rfam family "Bacterial small subunit ribosomal RNA", at positions 28 to 506 of the family's 1533-position model. The record is from RNAcentral.